Molecule: ribosomal RNA, 253 nt
Filed under: uncultured bacterium
Lineage: Bacteria
Description: partial 16S ribosomal RNA
Rfam family: Bacterial small subunit ribosomal RNA
Source: RNAcentral
UACGAAGGGGGCUAGCGUUGCUCGGAAUCACUGGGCGUAAAGGGUGCGUAGGCGGGUCUUUAAGUCAGGGGUGAAAUCCUGGAGCUCAACUCCAGAACUGCCUUUGAUACUGGCGAUCUUGAGUCCGGGAGAGGUGAGUGGAACUGCGAGUGUAGAGGUGAAAUUCGUAGAUAUUCGCAAGAACACCAGUGGCGAAGGCGGCUCACUGGCCCGGUACUGACGCUGAGGUGCGAAAGCAUGGGGAGCAAACAGG